UACGUAGGGUGCGAGCGUCAAUCGGAAUUACUGGGCGUAAAGUGUGCGCAGGUGGCCGCGCAAGUCGAGUGUGAAAUCCCCGAGCUUAACUUGGGAAUUGCGCUCGAAACUACGUGGCUCGAGUGUGGCAGAGGAAGGUGGAAUUCCACGUGUAGCGGUGAAAUGCGUAGAGAUGUGGAGGAACACCGAUGGCGAAGGCAGCCUUCUGGGCCAACACUGACGCUCAUGCACGAAAGCGUGGGGAGCAAACAGG
This 253-nucleotide ribosomal RNA is filed under the name uncultured bacterium. Its description in RNAcentral is "partial 16S ribosomal RNA". It matches the Rfam family "Bacterial small subunit ribosomal RNA", at positions 524 to 776 of the family's 1533-position model. The record is from RNAcentral.